UCGUCACACUAUCAUUAACUGAAUCCAUAGGUUAAUGAGGCGAACCGGGGGAACUGAAACAUCUAAGUACCCCGAGGAAAAGAAAUCAACCGAGAUUCCCCCAGUAGCGGCGAGCGAACGGGGAGGAGCCCAGAGCCUGAAUCAGCAUGUGUGUUAGUGGAAGCGUCUGGAAAGGCGCGCGAUACAGGGUGACAGCCCCGUACACAAAAGCGCAUGUGCUGUGAGCUCGAUGAGUAGGGCGGGACACGUGGUAUCCUGUCUGAAUAUGGGGGGACCAUCCUCCAAGGCUAAAUACUCCUGACUGACCGAUAGUGAACCAGUACCGUGAGGGAAAGGCGAAAAGAACCCCGGCGAGGGGAGUGAAAAAGAACCUGAAACCGUGUACGUACAAGCAGUGGGAGCACAGGUUUACCUGUGUGACUGCGUACCUUUUGUAUAAUGGGUCAGCGACUUAUAUUCUGUAGCAAGGUUAACCGCAUAGGGGAGCCGGAGGGAAACCGAGUCUUAACCGGGCGUUAAGUUGCAGGGUAUAGACCCGAAACCCGGUGAUCUAGCCAUGGGCAGGUUGAAGGUUGGGUAACACUAACUGGAGGACCGAACCGACUAAUG
This 609-nucleotide ribosomal RNA is filed under the name Salmonella enterica subsp. enterica serovar Weltevreden. Its description in RNAcentral is "partial 23S ribosomal RNA". It matches the Rfam family "Bacterial large subunit ribosomal RNA", at positions 140 to 788 of the family's 2925-position model. The record is from RNAcentral. Lineage: Bacteria; Pseudomonadati; Pseudomonadota; Gammaproteobacteria; Enterobacterales; Enterobacteriaceae.